RNAcentral lists this ribosomal RNA (421 nucleotides) under uncultured bacterium. RNAcentral describes it as "partial 16S ribosomal RNA". It matches the Rfam family "Bacterial small subunit ribosomal RNA", at positions 360 to 773 of the family's 1533-position model. The record is from RNAcentral.
AAUGUUGGACAAUGGGGGCAACCCUGAUCCAGCCAUCCCGCGUGUUCGAUGAAGGACGUCGGGAUGUAAAGCACUCUUGUCAGGGAAGAAAAGGCGCCGGAUAAGACCUGGCGCCGCUGACGGUACCUGCAGCAUAAGCACCGGCUAACUACUUGCCUGCAGCCGCGGUAAUACGUAGGGUGGAAGCGCUAAUAGGAAUUACUGGGCGGAAAGCGUGCGCAGGCGGUUCGGAAAGAAAGUUGUGGAAUCCCAGGGCUUAACCUUGGAACUGCAUUUUUAACUGCCGGGCUAGAGUAUGUCAGAGGGGGGUAGAACUCCACGUGUAGCAGUGAAAUGCGUAGAGAUGUGGAGGAAUACCGAUGGCGAAGGCAGCCCCCUGGGAUAAUACUGACGCUCAGACACGAAAGCGUGGGGAGCAAAC